GAGGGUGUAGCUCAGUAGUAGAGUUCAUGCUUAGCAUGCACAAGGUCUUGGGUUCAAUCCCUAGUACUUCCA
RNAcentral lists this transfer RNA (72 nucleotides) under Camelus bactrianus (Bactrian camel). It matches the Rfam family "tRNA". From Rfam's summary of the family: Transfer RNA (tRNA) molecules are approximately 80 nucleotides in length. Their secondary structure includes four short double-helical elements and three loops (D, anti-codon, and T loops). Lineage: Eukaryota; Metazoa; Chordata; Mammalia; Artiodactyla; Camelidae. RNAcentral also lists the same sequence under 2 other names. The record is from Rfam by way of RNAcentral.